RNAcentral lists this long non-coding RNA (560 nucleotides) under Bos indicus x Bos taurus (hybrid cattle). RNAcentral's name for it is "lncRNA (ENSBIXG00005017812.1)". The record is from RNAcentral. Lineage: Eukaryota; Metazoa; Chordata; Mammalia; Artiodactyla; Bovidae.
CCCCCCCCCCCCCCCCCCCCCCCCCCCCGCCAAGUAGGGGAGGAAAGAUGAGGUGUGGAUAAUGACUUGUGGGAUGGAGAUGAAGGCUCCAGAGCUGCGUUCGGCACUCAUUUAAUUUCGAUCAUUAACUCACCGAUGUAUUUGAAAGCCUCCUCUUGUCCCAAGACUUUAUUGCUCAAAGGAGGCUCUAUCCUACCAGAGCGUUUAUCUACCCAACAACUGGGCUGGGGGAGUAGUAGUGUCUCCAUAGCAUAAACGAGGAAACUGUGAUUCAGAGAGGCUAAGUAAACUGCCUGAUGCCACACAGCAACAUGCAGUGAUGAAUAUGAGUUUCAAACUUGGAUUUGUCUGGCUCCAAAAUCUCUGUCUUCUAUAACAGUAAAACAAAGGAGGAGAAGAACGAGAGGUGGUACGCCUAGAUGGCCAGGUGAAAAUGGAGCACUGCCAAGCAAGCCCCAAGGAAAUGUGCAACCUCCACAGGAUGUUUUAUUAUUGGCUUGGGAGGAAGUGGUAAGUGUGCAGACAUCAUCCUACAUUUGAAUGCUUUCUUAAGAACUAAU